UCUCCGUAGGUGAACCUGCGGAGGGAUCAUUACAAGGACGCCCGGGCUACGGCCUGGUUAUUCAUAACCCUUUGUUGUCCGACUCUGUUGCCUCCGGGGCGACCCUGCCUUCGGGCGGGGGCUCCGGGUGGACACUUCAAACUCUUGCGUAACUUUGCAGUCUGAGUAAACUUAAUUAAUAAAUUAAAACUUUUAACAACGGAUCUCUUGGUUCUG
RNAcentral lists this unclassified non-coding RNA (216 nucleotides) under plant metagenome. Its description in RNAcentral is "partial contains small subunit ribosomal RNA, internal transcribed spacer 1, and 5.8S ribosomal RNA". The record is from RNAcentral.